GGACAGAGAGGGCAUUUAACUGAUGAGGGGUUAGUGGUGCUGAGCCUUCUGGAGGAAGCCCUGUGUGCAGCAGGGAGUUGAAUGAGGUGGGAGGACCUGAGAGGGGGAGUUCACUGCAUGAACAGCAGAAGAUAUAGAGGAAAUGAUUCCAAGCCAACAAGGCUCAGAGUCAGGGAGGACAGUGGGGACACAGCGAUAGCAGAGAGGCCCUGGAAAGCAAAAUAACGACUUCAAUCCUAGGGCUGGAGAAGUAAGAUGCGAUCCCCUCCAGCAAUAUCCUGAUGACAACCUAAAAGUUAAUGAAUGCGAAAGUGAAGAUGGCACAGAACACUGGGACAAAGGAUGUCCUUGAUGCUUGUCCCAUCUUCAGCAAAUUGAGAGGUAGAUCCGAGCCUCAAGAACUGUAGACAACAAUAAACAACCCUACAAGAAGGAGGCUGGGCUGCUGCCAGAGCCAGAUCUGCUGGAAAUCAGUGUAAUUCCACUGGUAUGCUAUCUGAGAAGGGAGCAUCAUCCAUUUUCAGCAGCUGAAGACUCCCUGGGAGUCCCCAUAGAGGCACAUGGUGCUGCAAAACGUGGACAGAUGGAUCAUGUAUCCCUCAGUACCCAGAGGACCAUCACACUUCAAGGGUAUCCUUCAUUAAAGCAGUGAUAGGAACCUAACAGUCUGCGUGUCCCUAGUUAACAGGAGCUGGUGACUGAAGGUCUGUAUAGACUGAAAGUCUAUGAUAAAGCUCCUAUUGACCGUAGUGAGAGCUUAAUUAGGGCUUUAAAGCCACACCUGGCAAAUAUCAUCCGAAUCACUGCAUCUUUCCAAAAAAAGCUCUCCUUUUGCUCGUUUCACAGCUCUGUGGUCCCAGGCACUCAGGAGGAACAGCAGAACAGCAGCCUGUGCCCACGGGCUCUCGAGACUGACUCCUCUUUCAUACACUCACUAAACUGUGUAGCAUUUAUGCAAUCCAGCAGGCUCCAUCUCAUAACUCCAGGCUAUUCUGAAAGAAAAGGAGAUAGCAUCGGUAUCAUAAACCUAACCUCACAUCGUCUGCUUUCAUGCUUCAGCUAACCCUAAUGUUUAUAGAUCACAUAUCCCAACCACUUCAGUUCAGCUCGCGACUGGUUUUCAAGUCCGUGGGCUCCAGGAAAAGACAUAAUGGGCUGUUCAGAUGGAAUUAAGGAAAAUAAAACCCCUUUAUAUUCUCUUGCAUGUAUUCAUUUUACCACCCUGGUCAUUCUAUAUUUGUCAAACGUCUUUUGAGGUUUCAUCUGAACUAUUUUUACAUCCAGAUUUUUCUGGGGAGUUUACCUUUAAUUCUUGAAAACUCUUCUAAAAACCCGCAGUGGAAAUGUCAAAGUGACACCUAAUGUUGUCUGAGGACUUGUGGGGGAUGUUUUUAAGGCAGUUUUAUGUGAUGUGCAAUUAUACAUAUAUAUAUGCUUAUGUGUAGUAAUUAAAAACCAAC
Molecule: long non-coding RNA, 1460 nt
Filed under: Gallus gallus (chicken)
Lineage: Eukaryota; Metazoa; Chordata; Aves; Galliformes; Phasianidae
Source: RNAcentral